This is a non-coding RNA of Clarias gariepinus (North African catfish), 621 nucleotides long. The record is from the annotation of a RefSeq genome assembly. NCBI's taxonomy places the organism in Eukaryota, Metazoa, Chordata, Actinopteri, Siluriformes, Clariidae.
CUCGGCUGAUACACAAUGGUCUGGGUUGAAGCUCUGCCUUUGUUUCUCUGUGUCAUGGGUUUUCUCUCAGAGACUCUGUGCUCUUUAAGUUUAAAAGCACAAGCUGGAGAUAAAGUAACUAUUUGGUGUGAAAUUAAUCCGAAUGCUGCAAAGUACAUCUCCUGGUUUAAACACACGAGUGAUUCAGUUCCACUUCGUCUUGCAUGUAGACAGUUUUUUAAAAAUUCUCCAGCAGAAACGUGUUACUUCUUUACAGAAAGUGAGAGAAUAGUGAUGUCUGUUUAUGGCAAGAACACGUCUCUCACCAUCACUGCAGUAAAUGUCUCUGAUACAGGACUCUAUUACUGCAGAUACAGUGAGGAAACAAACUUUAGCACCUCAACAUUUUUGCAUGUGGAAGGCAAAAAUAUAAACAUUGUUAAGAAGAAAGAAACCGUUUCAGAAUCUCCUGCUUUGUUCUUCAUGCUGAAUGUGGGGUUGGGUGCACUGACUGUGAUUCUUCUCGGUGUCCUGAUCUGUCUAUUGAAGCAAAGAAAAAACUCACACAGGUGAUGAACCAGAAGAUAGUCAGGUAAGUCUGAUAUUAAUUGAAACACACACACACACACACACACACACACA